UGCCUUCUCGGCCCAGUCGGCAUGAAUCCCAGCCGUUGUUAUUUAUUUUUGUUAUCAAUCAUGGCCAUAAAAACGCAUUUCUUAGUUAGAGUAAAACUGUAAAACUGUAAAAUGUUGAUCAAAAACAGAGACCGACCGGAAAAUCUGGAAAGAAAGGAAGUGACAGACAAUCUUCACCGGAAAAGUGCAGGCAACUUUCCGACUCCUCAUCAGCGCUUAUCGGCCACCGCACUUGGGCGGCGCGUGAACUGGUUUUAGGUGUAACAGGAAGGCAGGUUUCUAUUGGAUGUGGCUCUAAAUCAAGAGACAAGGUUGUUAUUGUAGAGGAGAUGACUCUACAAAGUGUUUUUGACAUUCUGGAUAGAGCUUCAAAGUGCAGCGCAUAGGACCUGCUUUUUAAGGAAUCUGAACUUCAAGGCGUUAUCAUCGUUAAAGUUGGAUAACCUUGUGGCUCUUGCACUCUCCAAGGCUCAAAUCAAUCUAUUUGUGAUGAAAGCAUCUUGGUUAGUUAUUUACCACACAUUAAUCCCUUUUCCAAACCUUGCUAGGAGCAGGACAUCAACAUAUGUUGAAUGUUUUCUAUUUUCCCCAUUUUACUUCACCAAAAACCAUUUAGUUGAUAUAGUUUUAAUGUUUGCCUGCUGUCGAAAAUCAAACAGCCAUUCAUCCUAGAUGGGGUUGGCUAUUUCAAAUAGCCAGUACAAAUUCAAAGGUGAUUCCAUUUGAAUCCUUGCAGAUUCAGGUAGUCCUUUAAAAUAAAUAAAAAA
Long non-coding RNA from Rosa chinensis, 767 nucleotides. RefSeq lists it as uncharacterized. The transcript has 3 exons. NCBI's taxonomy places the organism in Eukaryota, Viridiplantae, Streptophyta, Magnoliopsida, Rosales, Rosaceae. The record is from RefSeq and is a predicted model, not a curated record.